This 274-nucleotide ribosomal RNA is filed under the name uncultured bacterium. Its description in RNAcentral is "partial 16S ribosomal RNA". It matches the Rfam family "Bacterial small subunit ribosomal RNA", at positions 523 to 796 of the family's 1533-position model. The record is from RNAcentral.
CUACGGAGGGUGCAAGCGUUACUCGGAAUCACUGGGCGUAAAGCGCGCGCAGGCGGCUUGAUAAGUUGGAUGUGAAAGCCUACGGCUCAACCGUAGAACUGCAUCCAAAACUGUCAAGCUAGAGUCUGGGAGGGGAAGAUGGAAUUAGUUGUGUAGGGGUAAAAUCCGUAGAGAUAACUAGGAAUACCAAAAGCGAAGGCGAUCUUCUGGAGCAGUACUGACGCUGAGGCGCGAAAGCGUGGGGAGCAAACAGGAUUAGAAACCCUAGUAGUCC